This 889-nucleotide ribosomal RNA is filed under the name Paracoccaceae bacterium. RNAcentral's name for it is "bacterial SSU rRNA". It matches the Rfam family "Bacterial small subunit ribosomal RNA", at positions 54 to 991 of the family's 1533-position model. Lineage: Bacteria; Pseudomonadati; Pseudomonadota; Alphaproteobacteria; Rhodobacterales; Paracoccaceae. The record is from RNAcentral.
CAUGCAGUCGAGCGGCCCUUCGGGGGGAGGUGCGCAGGGGUCAAUAACGUGUGGGGACGUACCCUUAUGUAAGGAAUAACCGCUGGAAACGGAGAUAAUACCUUAUACGCCCUUCUAGGGAAAGAUUUUUCGGAUUUGGAUCGGCCCGCGUUAGAUUAGGUAUUUGGGGGGGUAACGGCCUACCAAGUCUACGAUCUAUAGCUGGUUUGAGAGGAUGAUCACCAACACUGGGACUGACACACGGCCCAUACUCCUACGGGGGGCAGCAGUGGGGAAUCUUAUACAAUGGGAGCCAGCCUGAUCCAACCUUGCCGCGUGAGUGAAAAACGCCUUAGGCUCGUAAAGCUCUUUCACCAGGGAUGAUAGUGACUAUACCUGGUAAAAAAGCCCCGGCUAACUCCGUGCCAGCAGCCGCGGUAAUACGGAGGGGGUUAGCGUUGUUCGGAAUUACUGGGCGUAAAGCGCGCGUACGCAGAUCAGAAAGUUAGGGGUGAAAUCCCGGGGCUCAACCCCGGAACUGCCCUUAAGACUCCUUGUCUAGAGUAUGAGAGAGGUGAGUGGAAUUCCGAGUGUAGAGGUGAUAUUCGUAGAUAUUCGGAGGAACACCAGUGGAGAGGGCGUCUCAGUGGCUCGAUACUGACUCUGAUGUGCGAAAGUGUGGGGAGCAAACAGGAUUAUAUACUGUGGUAGUCCACACCGUAAACUAUGAGUGCGUGUCGUCGGGGCAUAUACUGUUCGGUGGCACAUCUAACGUAAUAAGGAUUUCCACUGGAGAGUUGGCUCGCAAGAUUAAUACUCAAAAGAACUUACGGGUGCCCGCAAUAGCCGGGGGAACGUGUGGUUUAAUUCAGAAACACGCACAAAAUCAUUUCGAGCCCUUGACAUUCUG